CAGAGGAAAGCUGUAGAGUUCUGUCCUCAGUUCUCAGCUCAAACUCCUCCAGUCUGAGAGAACUGGAUCUGUGUCACAAUAAACUGCAGGAUUCAGGAGUGAAGCUGCUCUCUGCUGGACUGGAGGAUCCACACUGCACACUGGAGAUACUGAGGCUGUGUGAGUGUAAUCUGACAGAGGAAAGCUGUAGAGUUCUGUCCUCAGUUCUCAGCUCAAACUCCUCCAGUCUGAGAGAACUGAACCUGAGUGAGAAUAAACUGCAGGAUUCAGGAGUGAAGCUGCUCUCUGCUGGACUGGAGAAUCCACACUGUACACUGGAGAUACUGAGACGCUGAAGGAUUUGACUUUGGAUUGUAAAAUAUGUUAUUAAAGCCUGAAGUAACUUGUAGCUGAGUGGAUAAAAGGAUGUGAUGGAACGUCUACAUGUGAAUAUGAAUGAUUCAGCUCCCAAACUGCUGGAAAUGUGGGACGG
Long non-coding RNA from Pangasianodon hypophthalmus (striped catfish), 472 nucleotides. RefSeq lists it as uncharacterized. NCBI's taxonomy places the organism in Eukaryota, Metazoa, Chordata, Actinopteri, Siluriformes, Pangasiidae. The transcript has 3 exons. The record is from RefSeq and is a predicted model, not a curated record.